UACGGAGGGUGCAAGCGCUAUCCGGAUUCACUGGGUUUAAAGGGUGCGUAGGAGGGCAGGUAAGUCAGUGGUGAAAUCUCCAAGCUUAACUUGGAAACUGCCGUUGAUACUAUCUGUCUUGAAUAUUGUGGAGGUGAGCGGAAUAUGUCAUGUAGCGGUGAAAUGCUUAGAUAUGACAUAGAACACCAAUUGCGAAGGCAGCUCGCUACACAUAUAUUGACUCUGAGGCACGAAAGCGUGGGGAUCAAACAGG
This 253-nucleotide ribosomal RNA is filed under the name uncultured bacterium. RNAcentral describes it as "partial 16S ribosomal RNA". It matches the Rfam family "Bacterial small subunit ribosomal RNA", at positions 524 to 776 of the family's 1533-position model. The record is from RNAcentral.